Molecule: ribosomal RNA, 1308 nt
Filed under: Staphylococcus aureus
Lineage: Bacteria; Bacillati; Bacillota; Bacilli; Caryophanales; Staphylococcaceae
Description: bacterial LSU rRNA
Rfam family: Bacterial large subunit ribosomal RNA
Source: RNAcentral
AGAAAAGCCUCUAGAUAGAAAAUAGGUGCCCGUACCGCAAACCGACACAGGUAGUCAAGAUGAGAAUUCUAAGGUGAGCGAGCGAACUCUCGUUAAGGAACUCGGCAAAAUGACCCCGUAACUUCGGGAGAAGGGGUGCUCUUUAGGGUUAACGCCCAGAAGAGCCGCAGUGAAUAGGCCCAAGCGACUGUUUAUCAAAAACACAGGUCUCUGCUAAACCGUAAGGUGAUGUAUAGGGGCUGACGCCUGCCCGGUGCUGGAAGGUUAAGAGGAGUGGUUAGCUUCUGCGAAGCUACGAAUCGAAGCCCCAGUAAACGGCGGCCGUAACUAUAACGGUCCUAAGGUAGCGAAAUUCCUUGUCGGGUAAGUUCCGACCCGCACGAAAGGCGUAACGAUUUGGGCACUGUCUCAACGAGAGACUCGGUGAAAUCAUAGUACCUGUGAAGAUGCAGGUUACCCGCGACAGGACGGAAAGACCCCGUGGAGCUUUACUGUAGCCUGAUAUUGAAAUUCGGCACAGCUUGUACAGGAUAGGUAGGAGCCUUUGAAACGUGAGCGCUAGCUUACGUGGAGGCGCUGGUGGGAUACUACCCUAGCUGUGUUGGCUUUCUAACCCGCACCACUUAUCGUGGUGGGAGACAGUGUCAGGCGGGCAGUUUGACUGGGGCGGUCGCCUCCUAAAAGGUAACGGAGGCGCUCAAAGGUUCCCUCAGAAUGGUUGGAAAUCAUUCAUAGAGUGUAAAGGCAUAAGGGAGCUUGACUGCGAGACCUACAAGUCGAGCAGGGUCGAAAGACGGACUUAGUGAUCCGGUGGUUCCGCAUGGAAGGGCCAUCGCUCAACGGAUAAAAGCUACCCCGGGGAUAACAGGCUUAUCUCCCCCAAGAGUUCACAUCGACGGGGAGGUUUGGCACCUCGAUGUCGGCUCAUCGCAUCCUGGGGCUGUAGUCGGUCCCAAGGGUUGGGCUGUUCGCCCAUUAAAGCGGUACGCGAGCUGGGUUCAGAACGUCGUGAGACAGUUCGGUCCCUAUCCGUCGUGGGCGUAGGAAAUUUGAGAGGAGCUGUCCUUAGUACGAGAGGACCGGGAUGGACAUACCUCUGGUGUACCAGUUGUCGUGCCAACGGCAUAGCUGGGUAGCUAUGUGUGGACGGGAUAAGUGCUGAAAGCAUCUAAGCAUGAAGCCCCCCUCAAGAUGAGAUUUCCCAACUUCGGUUAUAAGAUCCCUCAAAGAUGAUGAGGUUAAUAGGUUCGAGGUGGAAGCAUGGUGACAUGUGGAGCUGACGAAUACUAAUCGAUCGAAGACUUAAUC